GGUUAAGCGACUAAGCGUACACGGUGGAUGCCCUGGCAGUCAGAGGCGAUGAAGGGCGUGCUAAUCUGCGAUAAGCGCCGGUAAGGUGAUAUGAACCGUUAUAACCGGCGAUACCCGAAUGGGGAAACCCAGUGUGACUCGUCACACUAUCAUUAACUGAAUCCAUAGGUUAAUGAGGCGAACCGGGGGAACUGAAACAUCUAAGUACCCCGAGGAAAAGAAAUCAACCGAGAUUCCCCCAGUAGCGGCGAGCGAACGGGGAGGAGCCCAGAGCCUGAAUCAGCAUGUGUGUUAGUGGAAGCGUCUGGAAAGGCGCGCGAUACAGGGUGACAGCCCCGUACACAAAAGCGCAUGUGCUGUGAGCUCGAUGAGUAGGGCGGGACACGUGGUAUCCUGUCUGAAUAUGGGGGGACCAUCCUCCAAGGCUAAAUACUCCUGACUGACCGAUAGUGAACCAGUACCGUGAGGGAAAGGCGAAAAGAACCCCGGCGAGGGGAGUGAAAAAGAACCUGAAACCGUGUACGUACAAGCAGUGGGAGCACCCUUUGGGGUGUGACUGCGUACCUUUUGUAUAAUGGGUCAGCGACUUAUAUUCUGUAGCAAGGUUAACCGAAUAGGGGAGCCGGAGGGAAACCGAGUCUUAAUUGGGCGUUAAGUUGCAGGGUAUAGACCCGAAACCCGGUGAUCUAGCCAUGGGCAGGUUGAAGGUUGGGUAACACUAACUGGAGGACCGAACCGACUAAUGUUGAAAAAUUAGCGGAUGACCUGUGGCUGGGGGUGAAAGGCCAAUCAAACCGGGAGAUAGCUGGUUCUCCCCGAAAGCUAUUUAGGUAGCGCCUCGUGAAUUCAUCUCCGGGGGUAGAGCACUGUUUCGGCUAGGGGGCCAUCCCGGCUUACCAACCCGAUGCAAACUGCGAAUACCGGAGAAUGUUAUCACGGGAGACACACGGCGGGUGCUAACGUCCGUCGUGAAGAGGGAAACAACCCAGACCGCCAGCUAAGGUCCCAAAGUCAUGGUUAAGUGGGAAACGAUGUGGGAAGGCCCAGACAGCCAGGAUGUUGGCUUAGAAGCAGCCAUCAUUUAAAGAAAGCGUAAUAGCUCACUGGUCGAGUCGGCCUGCGCGGAAGAUGUAACGGGGCUAAACCAUGCACCGAAGCUGCGGCAGCGAACGUAUCACCCAAGACAACUUUACGGAGUUGACGAUUGACGGAGCGAAGCGACGUCAAAGCGUUCAUUAAAGUCGAGUUGGCUUAGGGAUACGUUCGUUGGGUAGGGGAGCGUUCUGUAAGCCUGUGAAGGUGGCCUGUGAGGGUUGCUGGAGGUAUCAGAAGUGCGAAUGCUGACAUAAGUAACGAUAAAGCGGGUGAAAAGCCCGCUCGCCGGAAGACCAAGGGUUCCUGUCCAACGUUAAUCGGGGCAGGGUGAGUCGACCCCUAAGGCGAGGCCGAAAGGCGUAGUCGAUGGGAAACGGGUUAAUAUUCCCGUACUUGGUGUUACUGCGAAGGGGGGACGGAGAAGGCUAUGUUGGCCGGGCGACGGUUGUCCCGGUUUAAGCGUGUAGGUGUGUGUUCCAGGUAAAUCCGGUUCACUUUAACACUGAGGCGUGACGACGAGGCACUACGGUGCUGAAGCAACAAAUGCCCUGCUUCCAGGAAAAGCCUCUAAGCAUCAGGUAACAUCAAAUCGUACCCCAAACCGACACAGGUGGUCAGGUAGAGAAUACCAAGGCGCUUGAGAGAACUCGGGUGAAGGAACUAGGCAAAAUGGUGCCGUAACUUCGGGAGAAGGCACGCUGACACGUAGGUGAAGUGAUUUACUCAUGGAGCUGAAGUCAGUCGAAGAUACCAGCUGGCUGCAACUGUUUAUUAAAAACACAGCACUGUGCAAACACGAAAGUGGACGUAUACGGUGUGACGCCUGCCCGGUGCCGGAAGGUUAAUUGAUGGGGUCAGCGCAAGCGAAGCUCCUGAUCGAAGCCCCGGUAAACGGCGGCCGUAACUAUAACGGUCCUAAGGUAGCGAAAUUCCUUGUCGGGUAAGUUCCGACCUGCACGAAUGGCGUAAUGAUGGCCAGGCUGUCUCCACCCGAGACUCAGUGAAAUUGAACUCGCUGUGAAGAUGCAGUGUACCCGCGGCAAGACGGAAAGACCCCGUGAACCUUUACUAUAGCUUGACACUGAACAUUGAGCCUUGAUGUGUAGGAUAGGUGGGAGGCUUUGAAGUGUGGACGCCAGUCUGCAUGGAGCCGACCUUGAAAUACCACCCUUUAAUGUUUGAUGUUCUAACGUGGACCCGUAAUCCGGGUUGCGGACAGUGUCUGGUGGGUAGUUUGACUGGGGCGGUCUCCUCCUAAAGAGUAACGGAGGAGCACGAAGGUUGGCUAAUCCUGGUCGGACAUCAGGAGGUUAGUGCAAUGGCAUAAGCCAGCUUGACUGCGAGCGUGACGGCGCGAGCAGGUGCGAAAGCAGGUCAUAGUGAUCCGGUGGUUCUGAAUGGAAGGGCCAUCGCUCAACGGAUAAAAGGUACUCCGGGGAUAACAGGCUGAUACCGCCCAAGAGUUCAUAUCGACGGCGGUGUUUGGCACCUCGAUGUCGGCUCAUCACAUCCUGGGGCUGAAGUAGGUCCCAAGGGUAUGGCUGUUCGCCAUUUAAAGUGGUACGCGAGCUGGGUUUAGAACGUCGUGAGACAGUUCGGUCCCUAUCUGCCGUGGGCGCUGGAGAACUGAGGGGGGCUGCUCCUAGUACGAGAGGACCGGAGUGGACGCAUCACUGGUGUUCGGGUUGUCAUGCCAAUGGCACUGCCCGGUAGCUAAAUGCGGAAGAGAUAAGUGCUGAAAGCAUCUAAGCACGAAACUUGCCCCGAGAUGAGUUCUCCCUGAGACUUAGAGUCUCCUGAAGGAACGUUGAAGACGACGACGUUGAUAGGCCGGGUGUGUAAGCGCAGCGAUGCGUUGAGCUAACCGGUACUAAUGAACCGUGAGGCUUAACCUU
RNAcentral lists this ribosomal RNA (2990 nucleotides) under Salmonella enterica subsp. enterica serovar Corvallis. RNAcentral describes it as "23S ribosomal RNA". It matches the Rfam family "Bacterial large subunit ribosomal RNA". Lineage: Bacteria; Pseudomonadati; Pseudomonadota; Gammaproteobacteria; Enterobacterales; Enterobacteriaceae. The record is from RNAcentral.